AUUUGAAUUAUCUGGCACGAGCCCUCACACGUCAAACUUCAACUGACACAACGGUCUCGGUGGAGGUAAUAAGCAAAAGCGCCUUUAAAUCUCGUCAUUUUUUAUACACAUCCCGUUUAUUUUGUAGUUAAUUGUUAGAUAAGUUAGUAAUUUCGUCAAGUUUUCGUUACAGGGUAAGAUUUCGUUAUCAUCGUUGCCAUAUAACUUACAGUAUUAUUGGUUCAAGAGCGCAGUUUGAUAACUCAUUCGAGGUUUGUAGCCAUAUUUAAGUUACUCGCUUACUUUGUUUCAGUGUUAGAGUAAAUGUAUAAGGUUUUGAAGUAAUAUUAAUAAGUUGCUGCGCCUCAAUCCGAAGGCUAACCACUGGAGGUAGCAUUUGGCUGUAUAACUUUUACGUCAUCAAGACUGUCAUAUUUAAGAAUAUUAACAAUUAUAAAGUCAACUAUUAUUCUCAGUUAAUCGUAAAUUGUUGUAAUAUGCUUAUGACUUGCGAAUUUAAUGUUCAUUUAACUGAAAUAAACCAGGCUUGAUGACGUAUGCUGCCUGCAUAUUCGAGGAUGCAGCCUUCCGUUUGAGAAACGGCCUACAAGUGUGAGCGUGCACGAGAUUCUGUCCGAAUUGAUUAUUCCCACAUUUUAAGGUUUAAAUUAAAACUCCUAACUUACAUUUCCAGGGGUUUCUGUUCCUGCAGUCUUCCAGCGAUACUGGCGCGUAUGACGAUGCGGACACGAACUGCACACUACAGUAUACCGCCGCCUACUGUACUGUAGUAAAAUAACGUGUAGGAUUGAAUACUGUGGCAAACGCAGUAAAAAAAGCCAUUUAAUUCAUUGUAAAAACAAUGGACAUGCCAGUUUAAGUAACUUGUGGGCUAAAUCACCAAAAUAAGUUUGUAGAUGUGGUUCAAUUAUUUUUAAUAAGUGUGCAGCAUAAUGGACCAGCCAGAAUGUAUGUAGCCUAUAAAUAUAUCAUUUAGACUUUAUUUUUAAACCUUUAUUUGGUGGAAUAUGGUUAAACAUUUUUAAUGGUAGCAAUAGGCUUUAUGCCCAGCUGCACUACUUCCUGAACUUCAGCCAGCUCCUUGUUUCCUGUCUGCCAUUAUUGGACAAACUGAUUAAUCCAGGUGUGCCUGACCUCAGUAGUCACAACAACAAUAAUCAGACACACCUGGAUUAAUCCGUUUGUCCAAUAAUGGCAGACAGGAAACAAUGAGCUGGCUGAAGUUCAGGAAGUAGUGCAGCUGGGCAUAAAGCCUAUUGAAUAAAAAUCUUAAAUUGAAUCAAAUCUCUUAUAAUAAUACAUAAAAGCUCUGGAAGGGUUGGGGGUACAUCUGGGUAACAUUUUAACAUUUAAUAUAUUUUGAUGUGUAUAUAUAUUAACUUUCUUUAUUUUGUUUUCUCAGCCUUUAAACAUCUAAACAUGUCCUCCAAAAAGGUAAGUUCAGCAGAUCAGCUUAUCUUAUUCUGUAAUAUUGAUACUGGUUUGAGAAAAACUAAGAUUAAACAACGUACAUGUUUCCAGGAAAAGGGGAAAAACAUUGGAAAACAAUUUCAGCCUAAGGUUUCCUGUGCUGUUUCGCUCCAUUUUACAGAACAAAAUAAGUGCUGAGGUAGCACCAUCCUUGUGGUUAUAGUGAAAGAAUGUGGGUAUUGAGACCAAAAUAAAUAAUGUGCCAUUCUGGACAAAAAGCUGUGGACAAUAUGCAGUCAAAGUAGCCUAUUUUCUCAGACAGGUAAAGUAUGCAAAGUAAUACCAAACUUCUUUUUAACCUUAACAAAUACUGGCAAGCCAAAUAUACAAUGUUUAUGUGAGGUACUGUGCAAAAGUCUUAGGCCACCAUGCUAUCAUUAGAUUUGUUAUUUUUGCAAUUGUAUAGUGAUCAUAUAUAAUUAUUUAUCAGUCUCUUUAUUAGAAUACAACCAGAAAAUACAGGAAAUGUGUAUGUAGUAUUAAAAACAAUAUAAACGUAUAAGCUGAAGUGUCAAGUGUUUAGGGUAAACUCUCCUUCCACUUGAGCAAUAGCAGGCAACUGCAGGAUCUCUUAAACCUAAAUUAAAUUAAAUCCUAAUUUCUAAUUCUAAUCGAAUGACUUCAGGACUUCAGUCUCCUCAAAAAAGCUCAAGAUGUGUUUAGUGCCAAGAGAGUUCACACUAAAUACUGACUGAUGUCUGAAGAAGACAUUUAGUUCUGAAAAUGGUUUUGUUUUUAAUUUUGUGUACAUUUUACCUGUAUUUUCUGUUUGUAUCUUAAUAAAAAGAGUGAAAAAUAAAUAUGGAUGGACAUUAAAACUUUGCUAAAACAACAAAGCUGGUGAUGGUUUCCCAAGACUUUUGCACAGUAAUGUAUAUUGACCAAGAGUUGUAAUGAUAAAAAAAUGCAUGUCGUCUAUUAUUUUCUUUAAAUGCACAUUUAUUCACAGAUCAGUAGGACAGUAAAUUAUCUGAAAGUGAAAUCAUUAUUGAAGGUGAUAUCAUUGUCACUGCAUUCAUUGUUACGUGAUUUUAAACAGUGGGAAUCAUUGUGUAAGUUUCUUAACAAUAUCAAAUACUACUUUUUUGUCUUGUUGUUUCUAGACCUGAAGAUAAGAUUUCCAGUUUGAAAGUGAAGAAAAUGAAUCAUUAUUAACAGCAAUUAGUAGUUUUUCAGCUGAGAAGCCAGGUGAAACUAUAAGGGCACUAUGAUUUACUUUCAUAUUAUCAUUCUUUUAUAGAUCAGGAGCAACCAGUAAGAAAAAGCAAAAAGAUGUUUUGAUGUUGCCUGAGGCACCUUAUUCACAUCAGUCAAUUUCUUCCAAUAAUGAAUCAAGAAAUCCUGGAGUGGAGAAUCAUUCUGAAAGUAGACCAAAUACAGGACAACACCACAGCAGUGGUUGGAAAAAUGCAGCAGACAAUGAGCAAGCCAAGCUGACUUUCAAAAGAUGAUUCGUUAUCUGUUUCUUCAAAGGGGAGGCAGUUUGGGAGAUGGGAAAUAGGAGGAUGCUACAGUUACACAGGGCGAAUUUCAGCAGCUCAGUUUCACACUUGCAACUAACAGUGAAUUAUAGUUAGAAGACCACGGAAAUAUUUGACAUCGGAGUCCAGCAGACAGCCAGAGACACGCACACACACGGAGCUGAAGCGCGUUUGACUGACGUGUACGGGAGAUCAGGCACGCGCACGGGAGCUCGCGCACGCACACACAAAAACGGAGCACAGGAAAAUUACAACUGUUCAAUUAAAAUAAAAGAACUUUGUGGUAAACAA
Molecule: non-coding RNA, 3242 nt
Organism: Misgurnus anguillicaudatus (oriental weatherfish)
Lineage: Eukaryota; Metazoa; Chordata; Actinopteri; Cypriniformes; Cobitidae
Source: RefSeq, a predicted model, not a curated record